GGCUGCAUCAACAGACGUCUAGUGCCAAGGUCAGGGGAAGUAAUGGUCCCACUCUAUUCCUCCUUGGUCAGACCACACCUGGAGUUCUGUAUCCAGUUCUGGGCACCACAAUUUAAGAAGGAUAUUGUCAAACUGGAACAUGUGCAGAGGAGGGCGGCCAAGAUGAUCAAGUAUCUGGAAACCAGGCGAUAGGAGGAGCCACUUUGUUUAGCAUGGAAAAGAGGAGACUGAUGGAUCAGGCUAAAGAGGGGCCCUUUAGUCCAUCAUCCUAUCCUCAUCAUGGCCUACUAGAUGCCCCAAUGGGAAGCUCUGAAGCAGGACCCGAGUGCAACAGCAGCAACUCUCCCCACUUAAAAUUCCCAGCAGCUGAUACCAUGGCUAGUAGCCAGCCCUGUCCACAGAUCCUACCACUCUGUCUGAUAAUAAAGCCAGCCCAAUUAAGGGUAGUAAACCUUGAGACUCAGGAGCCCAGAAAGUUAUUAACUAUUGAGCAUUCCAGAUUUUAAAUGCAAACCUACAAGAUUCCCUUACCCCCUAUACAUCUAAUUGAUCACUUCGAUUGGUGGAACUGGCCCUGUUACAUGUGCCAAAUAAUUCCUAUUCCACAUCUGUAGAGAACUGAUCUUUGAGUGUGGCUUCACUUACACUCUGGAACUCCCUGCCUAUUGACAGCAGGCAGGUGCCUUCCCUGUGGGGCAUUAUUGCAGUCAAACCAGCAAUUCAUGCUUUGCCAGAUGGUGAUAUGAAGGGGCUGAGGCUCACAAAGCCUUCCUGUAAAAUUUGCUAGGGAGAACUCUGUGAGAUCACUUCCUUUGUCUGCCUUGGCAGGAAGCUGUAACACUACAUACUUCCUUCCUGCCUGGGCGGCCUUCUCUUUUCCCCCUAUCAUGUUUCCAAGUUGACCCCACCUGUAUGUUUGAACCAAGCAGCUCAGGUACCAUUUUUUAAUUUCAGCUUUAUACUUUUGUAACUUAAAUAGCAGUUAUCAACCUGCCUUCAUUUUGCUUCUGUAAUAGCUGCUUCAAUACCUAGGUUUUGUGAAUAUUUAAAACAGAGCAUGGUUUACAACUCUUCUGACCUACCAAGAAAAGGACGUUGCAAGAGAGCUUGCCAUCCCAAUAUGAAGACAAGCGGGCUCUUUAAUGCUCACCACCAGAUGGACAUUCUCUCCAAAUGCAAGAUUCUUGGCAUGGGGUGGCAUAGCAGACCUUUGAUGGCUUUGAUGUAAAGCUCUGAAGUGUGCCAGGACACUUCAUAAAAUGCCACAGCCAGAGAUAACUUUGGGCAAAUGAAAGGCAGACUUUCCCUCUCUCCAACCCAGCUAGGCUUUCCAAGAGACUGGUUUUGCUCCAGGUUUUAUGAACUCAUUUGAAUGCAGAGAUCGGGACCUGUCAGUUUUCUGUACAGUUUUACAAUGGUGCGUGUAUAUGAAAUUAAGAAGACAAAUUUCUGAAGGAGAGGCCUGUCAAUGACUGCUCACCACGAUGGCUGUGCUCUGCCUCCACAGUCAGGGGCAGUGAAUACCCUUCUCAAUACCGGUUGCUGGAAGCCACAGGAGGGAACAGGGAUCUUGGGCUCAAAUCCAGCUGCUGGGCUUUCCAUUGGGACUGCUGUUCAGCUGCUGCGAAAACAGGAUGCUGGACUAGGUGGGCCAUUGGCCUGAUCCAGCAGGCUCUUAUGUUCUUGAAAUCUUGAGCCCCGAAACACUAUAUGCUACCUUAUUUUUAAAAAUCUCUUAAUUCUGUUUUAUCCAACUAUAUACACAUCUGGAUGCUUGUGUUCCAUGUGCUACUUAUUUUGUUUCUGUCAUGCCAGUCGUUGAGCAUAAUAAUAACGGUCUGGGAUAAAAAAAAUUUACGUUCUUAUGUUAUUUGGUUUUUGCUGUUGUUUUUCAAAACAACAACAACACCAGCUUCUGGCUUAGGGGGCAUUAUUUCAUUAUAUAUCUGCAUGAUAUUGUUAUAUGUUGAAACAAUUUAAUAAAAAUUACGGUAAGGUAAAAUAAAAAAAAGGUUUGAUUUGGACUUGAUUUGGAUGCGACGUGCCACUUUGCAGCAGCUUUCUAGAGGAUGUGAGCAACGAGCUUAUAGCCCAUGCUGGACCCUCCCUGUUGUUCUUUCCUGUGAACAGCAAUAAAAUAAAAUAAUGUGUAUGUGUUUGUGUGUAUUUUGCUGGCUAGAUUUCUCUUUCCAGCUGGUGCCAGUAUAACAGAAACAAGACUGAGAUCAACACAGCUACUUAGGCACUUUUAUUGGCCCUCUGCAUGAUGGGAAUCAAAUAAUAGGCUAUAAAGAAGGCAUAAUAAAGCCCUUCUGUAGCUUUCCAUAGCUUCUCGCCGGAGCUCUGUAAUAGACUUUCUCCCUUACCCCCGCCAGUGCCCUUCUCAUGGAAACUCCGCCUGCUGCCCCCUGCAGUCUUAUAACACAGGCCACAUUUGUCCUUGAGACUCGAUAAACAUUACCCUCUGGUGUUAGCUUUCCGCUUGGCUUACAUGCUUGGAAAACAUCUUUCUGUUGCAGAGUGUGGAAUGAGCAAAUGGGAUUAACUGGCCACUUUUCUGAGGUCAGCGGAAUUGGUGGGUCCCAGUAGAUUUAUGUGGAAAUGUCGGCUUCUGAGAAACACACAUUAUCUUUUAAAAUCAUUUGGAGUCUAUGUUUCGUGUAUGUAUGUGUGGCUUAACGUGCCCAGCUCUGAAUUGUGCUGAUUUCCAGAGGGUCACAGUUUUCUUGUUAGAUCUUCUGGAAGCAAAGCAGGGAUUGCAUUUGCUGUCUGGAUAUUAUUAG
Podarcis raffonei (Aeolian wall lizard) is the source of this 2783-nucleotide long non-coding RNA. RefSeq lists it as uncharacterized. NCBI's taxonomy places the organism in Eukaryota, Metazoa, Chordata, Lepidosauria, Squamata, Lacertidae. The transcript has 3 exons. The record is from RefSeq and is a predicted model, not a curated record.